UCAAGUGAAGAAGAGCAUAAGGCGGAUGCCUUGGCACUGGGAGCCGAAGAAGGACGUGACAAGCUGCGAUAAGCUGCGGGCAGGAGCAAAUAUCCGCUAAUCCGCAGAUUUCCGAAUGGGGGAACCCACUUAAGGUAAUGCUUAAGUAUCGUCGCCUGAAUCUAUAGGGCGAAGGAAGGCAACCCGGGGAACUGAAACAUCUAAGUACCCGGAGGAAAAGAAAGAAACAUCGAUUUCCCAAGUAGCGGCGAGCGAACGGGAAAGAGGCCAAACCGAUAGCUUGCUAUCGGGGUUGAGGACACUCAUCACGUAAACGGAUCUGUAGUCGAACAUGCCUGGAAAGGCAGACCACAGAGGGUAAAGGUCCCGUAGACGAAACGGAGAGUUUGCAGAGUGUAUCCAGAGUAGGACCGGACACGUGUAACCCGGUCUGAAGCCGGGGGGCCCACCCCCCAAGCCUAAAUACUACCCAGUGACCGAUAGAGAACAGUACCGUGAGGGAAAGGUGAAAAGGACCCCGGGAGGGGAGUGAAACAGAACCUGAAACCUUAUGCUUACAAGCAGAGGGAGCGCAAGUGACCUCGUACUUUUUGUAGAACGGGCCAACGAGUUAUGGUAUGCAGCGAGGUUAAGGUGCUGGAGCACCGGAGCCGUAGGGAAACCGAGUCUGAACAGGGCGGUAAGUUGUAUGCUGUAGACCCGAAACCGGGUGACCUAUCCAUGUGCAGGUUGAAGUAACUGUAAAAGGUUAUGGAGGACCGAACCCAUAUCUGUUGAAAAAGGUUGGGAUGACGUGUGGAUAGCGGUGAAAUUCCAAUCGAACCCGGAGAUAGCUGGUUCUCCUCGAAAUAGCUUUAGGGCUAGCCUCACAGUAAGAUAUCCGGAGGUAGAGCACUGAAUAUUCUAGGGGCCUUCACCGGUUACCGAAAAUUAUCAAACUCCGAAUGCCGGAAUAUCAUAUGUGGGAGUCAGACUAUGUGAGAUAAGUUUCAUAGUCGAAAGGGAAACAGCCCAGACCAACAGCUAAGGUCCCAAAAUGUAAGUUAAGUGGAAAAGGAUGUGGAGCUGCAUAAACAGCUAGGAUGUUGGCUUAGAAGCAGCCAUACAUUCAAAGAGUGCGUAAUAGCUCACUAGUCGAGUGGCUCUGCGCCGAAGAUAAACGGGGCUGAAACUUACUACCGAAGCUUUGGAUACAGAAAUGUAUGGUAGAGGAGCAUCGUAUACCGGGCAGAAGCUGUGCUGUAAGGCAUGGUGGACUGUAUACGAGAGAGAAUGUUGGCAUGAGUAGCGCAAGGCAGGUGAGAAUCCUGCCCACCGAAAAUCUAAGGUUUCCUGAGGAAGGUUCGUCCACUCAGGGUUAGUCGGGGCCUAAGCCGAGAGCGAGCGCUGUAGGCGAUGGACAACAGGCAGAGAUUCCUGUACCACCGAAGGUCGUUUGAGUGAAGUGGGGACACAGAAGGAUAGACUGAGCACGCCGCUGGUAGAGCGUGUCCAAGCACAGAGGCAGAUUCUAAAGGCAAAUCCGUAGAAUCAAUGCUGGUGUGUGACGGGGAGACAAAAGUCGGAAGCAGUCGAUUUCACGCUGUCAAGAAAAGCCGCUAACGAGACCGGAGGUGCCCGUACCGCAAACCGACACAGGUAGAUGAGGAGAGAAUCCUAAGGUGAGCGAGAGAACUAUUGUUAAGGAACUCGGCAAAAUGACCCCGUAACUUCGGGAGAAGGGGUGCCUGCUUCGGCAGGCCGCAGUGAAAUGGCCCAGGCAACUGUUUACCAAAAACACAGGUCUCUGCAAAAGCGAAAGCUGACGUAUAGGGGCUGACGCCUGCCCGGUGCUGGAAGGUUAAGGGGAAGUGUCAUCUUCGGAGAAGCACAGAACUUAAGCCCCAGUAAACGGCGGCCGUAACUAUAACGGUCCUAAGGUAGCGAAAUUCCUUGUCGGGUAAGUUCCGACCCGCACGAAA
Molecule: ribosomal RNA, 1961 nt
Filed under: feces metagenome
Description: bacterial LSU rRNA
Rfam family: Bacterial large subunit ribosomal RNA
Source: RNAcentral